This 292-nucleotide ribosomal RNA is filed under the name uncultured bacterium. RNAcentral's name for it is "partial 16S ribosomal RNA". The record is from RNAcentral.
GGACUACAAGGGUUUCUAAUCCCAUUCGCUACCUACGCUUUCGUGUUUCAGUGUCAGGAGUGCGCCAGUGAACUGCCUUCGCAUUUGGUAUUCCCCAUGAUAUCAACGGAUUUCACCCCUACUCCAUGAGUUCUGUUCACCUCUCGCAUCCUCUAGUUGUGCCGUUUCUUUUGCAUGCCCCCGGUUAAGCCGAAGAAUUUAACAAAAGACUAACACUACCACCUACACACCCUUUACGCCCAAUAAUUCCGGAUAACGCUUGGGGCACUCGUAUUACCGCGGCUGCUGGCAC